UUUAGUAUGGCAGAUUAGUGCCAUGAAUUUAAGCUUCAUUCAAAAAGUAAAACUUUUAUUAAAA
RNAcentral lists this transfer RNA (64 nucleotides) under Peloridora minuta. RNAcentral describes it as "tRNA-Leu". Lineage: Eukaryota; Metazoa; Arthropoda; Insecta; Hemiptera; Peloridiidae. The record is from RNAcentral.